Molecule: ribosomal RNA, 544 nt
Filed under: Colletotrichum gloeosporioides
Lineage: Eukaryota; Fungi; Ascomycota; Sordariomycetes; Glomerellales; Glomerellaceae
Description: eukaryotic LSU rRNA
Rfam family: 5.8S ribosomal RNA (bases 187-340)
Source: RNAcentral
CGGAGGGAUCAUUACUGAGUUUACGCUCUACAACCCUUUGUGAACAUACCUAUAACUGUUGCUUCGGCGGGUAGGGUCUCCGUGACCCUCCCGGCCUCCCGCCCCCGGGCGGGUCGGCGCCCGCCGGAGGAUAACCAAACUCUGAUUUAACGACGUUUCUUCUGAGUGGUACAAGCAAAUAAUCAAAACUUUUAACAACGGAUCUCUUGGUUCUGGCAUCGAUGAAGAACGCAGCGAAAUGCGAUAAGUAAUGUGAAUUGCAGAAUUCAGUGAAUCAUCGAAUCUUUGAACGCACAUUGCGCCCGCCAGCAUUCUGGCGGGCAUGCCUGUUCGAGCGUCAUUUCAACCCUCAAGCUCUGCUUGGUGUUGGGGCCCUACAGCUGAUGUAGGCCCUCAAAGGUAGUGGCGGACCCUCUCGGAGCCUCCUUUGCGUAGUAACUUUACGUCUCGCACUGGGAUCCGGAGGGACUCUUGCCGUAAAACCCCCAAUUUUCCAAAGGUUGACCUCGGAUCAGGUAGGAAUACCCGCUGAACUUAAGCAUAU